This is a long non-coding RNA of Brassica napus (rape), 2742 nucleotides long. RefSeq lists it as uncharacterized. The transcript has 5 exons. The record is from RefSeq and is a predicted model, not a curated record. NCBI's taxonomy places the organism in Eukaryota, Viridiplantae, Streptophyta, Magnoliopsida, Brassicales, Brassicaceae.
CCUCCUCUACGGUGUAAGGAUAUUUCAAGGGGACAAGGCAUAUAUAAUUUUAUUAAAAAAACGAGACAUAAAUCCUUGAAGUUGGGCUUAUUCUUGUUCAAAUAAUAAAUCUCUAUAUCAUCACAAUACUAAAAACCAAAUAUAUUUUAGUCAGUUUUAAACAUUUGGUGUUAAACGAGCGUAUUGUCACCUGACCAUGUAACUUAAUAUGGACCCCCCCCCCUCCUCUACGGUGUAAGGAUAUUUCAAGGGGACAAGGCAUAUAUAAUUUUAUUAAAAAAAUGAGACAUAAAUCCUUGAAGUUGUGCUUAUUCUUGUUCAAAUAAUAAAUCUCUAUAUCAUCACAAUACUAAAAACCAAAUAUAUUUUAGUCAGUUUUAAACAUUUGGUGUUAAACGAGCGUAUUGUCACCUGACCAUGUAACUUAAUAUGGACCCCCCCCCUCCUCUACGGUGUAAGGAUAUUUCAAGGGGACAAGACAUAUAUAAUUUUAUUAAAAAAACGAGACAUAAAUCCUUGAAGUUGGGCUUAUUCUUGUUCAAAUAAUAAAUCUCUAUAUCAUCACAAUACUAAAAACCAAAUAUAUUUUAGUCAGUUUUAAACAUUUGGUGUUAAACGAGCGUAUUGUCACCUGACCAUGUAACUUAAUAUGGACCCCCCCCCCUCCUCUACGGUGUAAGGAUAUUUCAAGGGGACAACGCAUAUAUAAUUUUAUUAAAAAAAUGAGACAUAAAUCCUUGAAGUUGGGCUUAUUCUUGUUCAAAUAAUAAAUCUCUAUAUCAUCACAAUACUAAAAACCAAAUAUAUUUUAGUCAGUUUUAAACAUUUGGUGUUAAACGAGCGUAUUGUCACCUGACCAUGUAACUUAAUAUGGACCCCCCCCCCUCCUCUACGGUGUAAGGAUAUUUCAAGGGGACAAGACAUAUAUAAUUUUAUUAAAAAAACGAGACAUAAAUCCUUGAAGUUGGGCUUAUUCUUGUUCAAAUAAUAAAUCUCUAUAUCAUCACAAUACUAAAAACCAAAUAUAUUUUAGUCAGUUUUAAACAUUUGGUGUUAAACGAGCGUAUUGUCACCUGACCAUGUAACUUAAUAUGGACCCCCCCCCUCCUCUACGGUGUAAGGAUAUUUCAAGGGGACAAGGCAUAUAUAAUUUUAUUAAAAAAACGAGACAUAAAUCCUUGAAGUUGGGCUUAUUCUUGUUCAAAUAAUAAAUCUCUAUAUCAUCACAAUACUAAAAACCAAAUAUGCUGAAUUAUUAAGCUAUCCACAUCAUCAAAAAUAAUCAUCCAAUCAGCACAUUUCGUUUUUACACAUCAGACACAAUUAUGUAUGGGGUUCAAGUUUUUCUUUUAUUUAUAGUGGGCUUCAUUUUUUUUUUCCACAAAAUCUAAAAAAACCAAAAUCAAUCCGACAACGCUGCUUAACCAAUAUUGAAACGUCUCUCCCAGUUUCCAAGUGACUAAGUUACUUAUCGAUUCAAUUUCUCUCAGUAUGUGCUUUUAAAAGUUCAUCUUCCCCACCACCUCCUCAAUCAAUAAAGCUCUUCCUCUCAAUAUUGCAUUCCGAUCUCUGUAGGUAAUAUUGCAAAGUGAACAUGCCGUAGUAAAGCGGCUGCAAAGGUUCGUUUUCAUGUAAUCAUGGCCUUUCAGUUAUUCAAUUUUUUUCCUGAUCAGUAGUUUCUAGGGAUUAAACUUUUAACUUAUUUUUCGAUAAAGUAUUAAACUUUUAACUCCUCUGUACAAAAGUUCUUCAUCUGGAAACUGUGAAAUCUGUUACAGGUUAGAUGGGUAGAAUCCUUUGAUUGUUAUUGUGAUGUCGAAAGUAUUUGACAUUGGUUACGUGAACAUACUAAACCUGUUGCGCUUAUUCCCCUUUUUAAUUUGAUUAUGAUGGAUUUUUCUUGGUUUUCCAUUAUUUUUUCUAGCUCAAUUUUAUGUGUAAAUACAUACGCUGUCUUUUUAUGAUCUAAAGUGAAGAUUCCCGUGAGACUUUCAAGAAAAAGCUUCCCAAGAACAAAUAUGUUGCUGCUGUGAGUGUCUCCUUCUCACCUUCAAAGUUAUUUUAUACCUUAGGUUCAUCUUCAAAGGCAUACUAACUUUAAAUUUGUAUGGAUAAACAAGUUUGAAAAGCUUCUGGAGACAAGUAGAAAUUCCUACAGAUGUUGUAUGUACUUUAUCUCAGUUUUAAUGUUCUAAACUAAAUACAAUACUUGAAUUUCACAAUAAUUCUGGAAAAAGAACCUCAUGUUGCUAAGGCUAAAAAGCGCAAGGGUUGACUACGAGAAGAACCUGAAACCUUGCAACAAAAAAUUGAGGAAGAUGAGAAAUUCGACAAGUCAGUGUCAGAAGUUAAUGGUGGAGAUUACAAUGAGGAAGGAAGAGAGGGUUUGACAUGCUCCUCCUUAAUGCAAAGGUUUGUCUCCUAUAUUCCCUCUCAAUGAUAUCUUUUGGCGUCGAGUCUAAGGUGAUAGUAGCCACCAGCAUUAAUCCAAAAUUCGUCGGAGGUCGUCUCUUACUGAAUACAACCUCUGGCACUCAUUUCUAUUUCGACAAAGACAAACGCAAGUGAGACCUUCAUCCGAUUUGGGUGUUGGUGACGUGAUCUGCUCCACAAGUUCCACCAAAUAUGAAGGUGUGAAGAAAAUUGAAGUUGUGACGGUCUUUGAGCUUAACGCAUACGUGGUUAACUCGACCCCACAUGUUAAAUCCCUAACUGUUUCUUCUAGCAUAUGUCUCAUUACUA